RNAcentral lists this ribosomal RNA (777 nucleotides) under uncultured Neocallimastigales. Its description in RNAcentral is "partial large subunit ribosomal RNA". It matches the Rfam family "Eukaryotic large subunit ribosomal RNA", at positions 19 to 646 of the family's 3401-position model. The record is from RNAcentral. Lineage: Eukaryota; Fungi; Neocallimastigomycota; Neocallimastigomycetes; Neocallimastigales.
CGAGCACGCGCGUGUGGCAUAUCAAUAAGCGGAGGAAAAGAAACUAACAAGGAUUCCCUUAGUAACGGCGAGUGAAGCGGGAAGAGCUCAAAUUUGAAAUCUUCAAGGUUCUACCUUGACGAAUUGUAGUUUAUAGAAGUGUUUUCUGUUAGUAGAGUGGCAAAAGGUUCUUUGGAAUAGGACAUCAUAGAGGGUGAGAAUCCCGUAUUUGGUCAUUCUUCCUAGCGUUGUGAUACACUUUCAACGAGUCGGAUUGUUUGGGAAUGCAGUCCAAAAUGGGUGGUAAAUUUCAUCUAAAGCUAAAUAUUGGCGAGAGACCGAUAGCGAACAAGUACCGUGAGGGAAAGAUGAAGAGAACUUUGAAAAGAGAGUUAAACAGUACGUGAAAUUGUCAAAAGGGAAGCGUUUGACACCAGUGUUGUUUUUCCGAAAAUCAAUUACGAAUGUUUUGUUUUUGAAGGAGUUAUGACUUCAUCGGCUUGCUUCUUUCUUUACGAAACUUUCUUAAUGCACUUUUCGGUUAACAAGUCAACAUCAAUUUCUUUUGUUGUAAAAGGGUAUGAGGAAGGUGGCUUUCUUUUCGGAGAAAGUGUUUAUAGCCUUGUAGCCUCUACAAUCGGAGAGAUUGAGGUCUGCAGCGUAGAUCCUUCGGGGUUAGAUACAGUUUGUGCUAAGUUAUAGCUUUUCAUAGACAACUUGUUGACUAUGUUAGUCUUGUAGCUUACUCGCUUAUGCUAUUUUACCUACGCUUAGGAUGUUGAUGUGAUACUGCGAGCA